CGUCAGGCCAGUAACUAGUAUCCCGAAGCCGCUCAGGACAGUCCUCGCAGAACGCUGCCAGGCUGUUGUGUUCCUACGGAGGCGCUGAGCCUUCCAGCUGUUCCGGAUUAGCAUCUAGCUCCAAGCAUUUCGUUCCGGCAGCCCGGUUCCUUCAGCCUCUGGCGCCACGGUGCCUCUCACUUCAUCGGGCUGCUGGCCUAUGUGAGGGCAAGAUCCCUCUUCCCUUAGAUUGGCCAAGGCGAAGUGGAAUAUGAAAAGAACUUUGCCAAGGAACAAAGCGAGGGUCAAAUGCUACAUUGCAGGGCAGACUCGAAGCAUGGAAAUGGCAGGGCCUGUUCACAGGCUUGGCCUCGAGGUUGCACAUGGGAGCCUCACUACCUUCCCUUAACCUCAACCCCAGGUCUGGGCUUUGAUUUUGGCGGGCUUUCUUGUCCGUAAGGAAGGGAUUUGCUCUUUCCUAGACCCCUCGGGAGUGCCAACCUGAGCCUGGGAAGCUCGGACUCUUCAUUGGAUAUGGCUUAUGCCAAUAAUCUGUGCUUGACCAAUAGCUGAGAAGUGUGGGUGUUGCUGAGGUGCUAAGAAGAGCUACAAGGGGAGUGGGGGUUUUAUGGAACAGAGAAGGAGUCUUGGCCCUGGCUCUUGGUGAGUCAGGAUGGCCUUCAAUACAACUAGUCUCUGAAGCCUCAGAACAAAAGGCGAAGAAACUUCAGUGAAAGCAUAAAACAUAGCCUCAUGUUAGCCAAUGCAGAAAGGAAGGUCCAAGAGCCUGGAGCUUCAAAAACCACCAUGGCCCGGGGAUUUAGCUCAGUGGUUUCGCCGCCUGCUGCUCAAGAGCAAGGACCUGAGUUUGAUCUUCGGUACCAAAAGUAGAAUAAAAUAAAAACCACCCUUAUCCCUAUCCCCUUGGAACUUAGCCCUCACCAGGGAAGGCCCGGAGGCCAGGCCCCAGGCCGGCUAACACACUGAGCAGGGGGUCAGAGGAGGGGCUAACACGCUGAGCAGGGGGUCAGAGGAGGGGCUGAGGAGACGCAGGGCGCUGCAGCAGCCACACGGGGUUAUCGGGAUGGGUGUGUUGAGGGAUAGGAGCCAGAAGCUGUGGCAGUGAGGCCAAGUUGGGGUGUACGAGUUAGACGAGGGGUGAUAAGAUAACAAGGCAAACUCAGAAGGGCACCCAGGCCUGAUGCAGGCCUGGACGAUCAGAUUCAGGGUUUAUCUUGAAGCCUUGGUAGUCCCAACCUUUCCCUGACUUUCUCUUCAUUAGGCCCCUGGCCUUAUCCUCUCAGAACCUGGGAGCCUAGACCGAGGCCUUUUUCAAGAUAGAGAGGGUUGUCAACAGGCAGGAGCCUCAGCUAGCCCUGAUGGCUCAGCUCUGGAGGGGACAAUGGUAGGACAGGUGGCUACAGAGGCAUAAAGGCCACGGUGUUUCUGGACCAGCCCCAGUGUCACCAGCUUUGGACUGGAAGUGGCUUAGGGGAGUGCUAGAGAGUGCUAGUGCUAGAGACCCCUUCCAGUAAGGACUCAGGCCCAUCGUCAUUUUAUCCCUCCCCUUGUGGCUUCCUGAGUGGGGGCGCGGUCACAUCUUGGGCAGCAGCCCACAGCUUCCAUAGCUUAGUAGGUCCAAGUCCACCUCAGGCCAGAAGGAGCUCAUUCUUUUGCCGUGAGCAAAGAGGGCCGCUGUCAUUUCCUUGUUCCAUGAUGAGGAUUCAGCUCACUCAAGACUUCUGAUGGCCUCAUGACAGCUUCUGGCUGUCAGAGCUCACAGACCAUCUGCUUGGAUUGCCCUGCGGCCCUCCUGUAGGGCACAGAUGCUGGCAAUAAUGUGUCCCAUUUGGCAGGCGAUAUGACAUUGCUUCUUGUAUCAUGUCAGGUGACUCAAAUAACGAUCAUGCCUGUUGACACUUGGAGCUCUCAGAGGGAAUUCUGAACAGCAAAGGAAAGAUGAAAUGAAACUCAAGGGUGCUUGUUCCAAACACUGCAGCAGCCCGCAUAACCAGCAAUGAAGCCAUUGCUAAAGUCAACAAUGAAAGAACUCUGAAGAAACACAGAUUCUGAAAGGAAGAGAGAAAAAGGCAGACUAGCUAGAGAGCUUGGGGCCUGAGGAACACACAACAUGUAGCUGUCAUGAGGUGAACAGGUUUCAUCCACUAUGUGCCAUGAUGUACUGUCUUUCCACCAACUCAGAAGCAACAGAGCCAACUGACCAUGGACUGAAACCUCUGAAACUAUGAGCCAAAAUAAACUUUUCAUCCUUUAAGUUGAUUUUCUCAGGUAUUUUGUCACGAUAAUGACAGGCUGAUGAAUACAUAAACUUAUAGCAAGACUAUCAAAGAAACAAAGAGAAGACACAAAUUACCAGUAUUAGGAAUUAAAAGGCAUAUCGUUACAAACCCUGAGUACAUCAAAGGACUAAUAAGGAGAAUUAUGAAAAGUCUCUAUACACAAAUAUUACAACCUAGAUGAAAUGGACCAUUUCUCAAAAAAUACAAACUACCACAACUUACCUAAAAUAAAAGAGAUACUUUAAAUAGCUGAUCAAGGGAAUGAUCAAGGGAAUUAAUGAUCAAGGGAAUUAAGUUUCUUAAUUUAAAAAUUCCCCUGAAAGAAAGCUCCAGGACUGUAUGGCUUUGUCGGUGAGUCUUCUAAAAAUUUAAGUAAGGAUUAAUACCAAUUCUACACAGUCUCAUCCAGAAAAUAGAAGAGGAGGAAACUCAUAAUUUUAUGAAACUAGUAUUACCAGGAUUAGACAGAAUAGCUGAAUAAAUCAGUAUUAAAGUGAUCAGAGUUCAGAGAAGAUAAAAAUAAUAAGAUUAAAAAAAGAUUAAAAAAAUAAGAAAAGCAAAUCAAAGACCAGUAUCUAUCUUGGGUACAGAUAUAAGAAAUCUUUAAGAAAAUAUUAGCAAAUACAAAUCAGCAAUUUAUAAAAAGAAUAAUAUACCACGAUGAACUGUUUUAUUCAAGAGAUGCAAAGUUCCUUCAAUAUUAACAAAUCACUUAACCUAUAUGAACCUAUAUUAAAGAAAAGCCCUGCAUAUCAUAUUGACAUGGAAAGAACAUUUGACAAAAUUCAGCAUAUAUUCAUGACAAAAACUCAGAAAAAUAAAAAUGGGAAUUUCCUGAACUUGAUAAAAGAC
RNAcentral lists this long non-coding RNA (3131 nucleotides) under Heterocephalus glaber (naked mole-rat). RNAcentral's name for it is "lncRNA (ENSHGLG00000035058.1)". The record is from RNAcentral. Lineage: Eukaryota; Metazoa; Chordata; Mammalia; Rodentia; Bathyergidae.